GGCUAUCCCGAUCAUGUGGGAUAGUUGCGUUGAAGCAAGUUGACUCCCCAUCUGGUUGAUGUUAACUGCGCAGGAGUACUCUAGUGGGUCGUUUAGAUUAGCUGAACACCCUAAAGUACACAUUGGAAUAAUAAGAUUCAUUAGAAUUACGCAUUAUCAUUGCUGCGAUUUCUUUUUCAAACUGUAAAAGUGGGGCCUUUUUUUCUAUUGAAAUGAGUUAUUUUCUUCCACGUUUUCCGAUUUUAAGUAAACAUCUAUGGUCGUAUGCAUUUCGGUUUAAAAAAAAGUCACACAUUUUGUAAUGAAAACGGAGAAGUGUGCCAUGAUUAUCUUAUAUUUUUGGGAUAUUUCGGUUUGUGUUUUAUUUCUUGAUCACAGUGUGUGCUGCAUAUUUUUCUUGAAAUUAUCAACCAAAUAUCACCUCACAGGACGUCGUAUGGACUUUUUUUUACCUUGGAUUUGAGCGGAUUUUCCUAGAAUCUCGCGCUGUUUAUUGCAAAAUCUUCAUCAUUCGCACAGGAUACCAGUGGCGGUAUUCUGGAACACAAUCCGCAAAAAAAGCGGAAUUAUUCCGAGCGAUCAAUUGUAUUUUGGAAGGCGGUAUCCGAACGUUGUAUAUGGAUUUGUCUCUUUUUCAUUAAUUCGUUCGAAAAGAUAAUUCCGAUUUUGGCUAUGCAAUUUGCCAACGAUUUGAACAUUAACAUUAGGGAAAACAAACUGUAACGAAUUCAACGGAAUAUCGACUUUGCCGUAUUUUUGUAUGAAGUCACCAAUGCGGAACCGACCAUUUUGUACGACAUCUCCAACGAAGUUUCAACUGGAAUGAAGGGCAUGCUAAGAGAUCGCUAUCGUGACUUGUUGACAAAGAUGAAAAAGUAUCUCAAGAUUGAAACAGAAAGUACCCUCGAUGACAUCAGAGAGUUUUAUGUGCAUCAAGUUGAGAAGAACAUCAUCGAUAUUGGUCUAUUGAAUGGAAAAAUGACGAUUGCACUGACCAAAUUCAACGACGUCCACUCAGAAGAGUUGAAAGAAUGCGCAAAGAAAAUAUUUAAUGUGGCAUCUGAUUUGAAUAUUGGCAUAACGACGAAGAAAUCAAAUGAUCUAUUGCAACACAUUGAAUUUGUCGAUUUCCUAUGCAACAUCACCAAUACCAAUUCAACGGUUUUCUUUGACGUCACGAAUGUAUUGGCCAAUCUGACACUUCGAAGACUCACGCACAUGGUAUAUGUUUUUAAUUGAUUUACACGACGAGUCAUCAAAAUAUGAGGUGCAAACUAGCGCAACCACAUAUGACGUAUCGCAGCUUAUGAGCGAAUGUGUUGUUGGCGAAAAUGAUUUAGUCGAUGUUAAAAGUAUUAGCUUAAAAGAAUAUUGCGAACAGGUUGGCUUAGAGAGUGGCAAAUGUGAAACGGGUUCUAAAUAGUAUAGGGAAAUUUGUGCUCGGAACAUAUUCGGAUUUGUUGGGCAAUUUGAAUGCAAUUGAAGAAACGAGAAAAGCGAUUAAAAAUGUCGAAGGUCAAUCACCACCCAUUUGGACAAAUAUUAUAAUUUCGGUGGCAUUAUCUGAAACAAACGUCUCAUCAAUUGAUAAAUUACUUUGAAUAAUAGCACCAUUUUUGUAUAAUUCAUUUUAAAAUAAAGAAAAACUUUUUGAGAAAAUGAAAA
Long non-coding RNA from Sitodiplosis mosellana (orange wheat blossom midge), 1665 nucleotides. RefSeq lists it as uncharacterized. The transcript is spliced from 2 exons. NCBI's taxonomy places the organism in Eukaryota, Metazoa, Arthropoda, Insecta, Diptera, Cecidomyiidae. The record is from RefSeq and is a predicted model, not a curated record.